GACGAACGCUGGCGGCGUGCUUAACACAUGCAAGUCGAACGGAAAGGCCCUGCUUUUGUGGGGUGCUCGAGUGGCGAACGGGUGAGUAACACGUGAGUAACCUGCCCUUGACUUUGGGAUAACUUCAGGAAACUGGGGCUAAUCCCGGAUCGGAGACCCUCCUGCGGGGGGGGGGUGGGAAAGUUUCGGCGGUUGGGGAUGGACUCGCGGCUUAUCAGCUUGUUGGUGGGGUAGUGGCUUACCAAGGCUUUGACGGGUAGCCGGCCUGAGAGGGUGACCGGCCACAUUGGGACUGAGAUACGGCCCAGACUCCUACGGGAGGCAGCAGUGGGGAAUAUUGCACAAUGGGCGGAAGCCUGAUGCAGCAACGCCGCGUGCGGGAUGACGGCCUUCGGGUUGUAAACCGCUUUCGCCUGUGACGAAGCGUGAGUGACGGUAAUGGGUAAAGAAGCACCGGCUAACUACGUG
This 468-nucleotide ribosomal RNA is filed under the name uncultured bacterium. RNAcentral's name for it is "partial 16S ribosomal RNA". It matches the Rfam family "Bacterial small subunit ribosomal RNA", at positions 28 to 507 of the family's 1533-position model. The record is from RNAcentral.